GAUGAACGCUAGCUACAGGCUUAACACAUGCAAGUCGCGGGGCAGCAUGGGGGUUGCUUGCAAUCCCCGAUGGCGACCGGCGCACGGGCGAGUAACGCGUAUCCAACCUGCCCUUCACCACGGGAUAACCCGGCGAAAGUCGGACUAAUACCGUAUGUUGUCCAUUGACGGCAUCCGAUUUGGACGAAAGGUUUGGCGGUGAAGGAUGGGGAUGCGUCCGAUUAGCUGGACGGCGGGGUGACGGCCCACCGUGGCGACGAUCGGUAGGGGUUCUGAGAGGAAGGUCCCCCACACUGGAACUGAGACACGGUCCAGACUCCUACGGGAGGCAGCAGUGAGGAAUAUUGGUCAAUGGGCGUAAGCCUGAACCAGCCAAGUAGCGUGCAGGAUGACGGCCCUAUGGGUUGUAAACUGCUUUUAUGCGGGGAUAAAGUGGCCCACGUGUGGGUUUUUGCAGGUACCGCAUGAAUAAGGACCGGCUAAUUCCGUG
RNAcentral lists this ribosomal RNA (490 nucleotides) under uncultured bacterium. Its description in RNAcentral is "partial 16S ribosomal RNA". It matches the Rfam family "Bacterial small subunit ribosomal RNA", at positions 28 to 507 of the family's 1533-position model. The record is from RNAcentral.